Molecule: long non-coding RNA, 499 nt
Organism: Mirounga angustirostris (Northern elephant seal)
Lineage: Eukaryota; Metazoa; Chordata; Mammalia; Carnivora; Phocidae
Exons: 3
Source: RefSeq, a predicted model, not a curated record
CAGAAGACAUUCCAAAUGAUGACGGAGAGACGACUAUUGGUGUAGUCCACACAGAGAGAAGUUCUGUACUACUUCCUAGUUUGUGAUCUUGGGCAAGUCAUCAAAAUGUUCUGAACUUAAGUUUAGUACCCAUAAAAGCACUACAAUGUUUACCCCACAGAACUGGAUAGUUAAAUGAGGACUUUGACCACUGAUGCAAAUAUGUACUGCAAUAUUUAGGUGUCCUGGAGAAAAUAAAAUUUAAUUUUGUGUGCAUGGGGAAACCACCUAGACAUGAGACCCCCAUAUGGUAAGCCUUUGGACAAGUGGAUCUAGUGUCUUUAUGGGAUCUCCUCAGGCUGUUUCUACAUUUGGGCUCAGGAUGGCACACCCUAACUAACUAUGGAGGAAUUAUUUGAUUAAAAGAAAGGGAAAAAUAGUCUGCUAGCAGCUAUUUAUAUUAAAACAAAUGAAGGCACAAAUUAGUAGGACUCCAGAGGCUAUGAGUGAAGGCGUGGUG